Molecule: ribosomal RNA, 468 nt
Filed under: uncultured bacterium
Lineage: Bacteria
Description: partial 16S ribosomal RNA
Rfam family: Bacterial small subunit ribosomal RNA
Source: RNAcentral
GACGAACGCUGGCGGCGUGCUUAACACAUGCAAGUCGAACGGAAAGGCCCUGCUUUUGUGGGGUGCUCGAGUGGCGAACGGGUGAGUAACACGUGAGUAACCUGCCCUUGACUUUGGGAUAACUUCAGGAAACUGGGGCUAAUACCGGAUAGGAGCUCCUGCUGCAUGGUGGGGGUUGGAAAGUUUCGGCGGUUGGGGAUGGACUCGCGGCUUAUCAGCUUGUUGGUGGGGUAGUGGCUUACCAAGGCUUUGACGGGUAGCCGGCCUGAGAGGGUGACCGGCCACAGUGGGACUGAGAUACGGCCCAGACUCCUACGGGAGACAGCAGUGUGGAAUAUUGCACAAUGGGCUGAAUCCUAAUGCAGCAACGCCGCGUGCGAGAUGACGGCCUUCGGGUUGUAUUCCGCUUUCGCCUGUGACGAAGCGUGAGUGACGGUAAUGGGUAAAGAAGCAACAGCUAACUACGGG